This 321-nucleotide unclassified non-coding RNA is filed under the name soil metagenome. RNAcentral's name for it is "partial contains 5.8S ribosomal RNA, internal transcribed spacer 2, and large subunit ribosomal RNA". The stretch from base 1 to 119 matches the Rfam family "5.8S ribosomal RNA", at positions 35 to 154 of the family's 154-position model. The record is from RNAcentral.
GAUGAAGAACGCAGCGAAACGCGAAAGGUAAUGCGAAUUGCAGAAUCAGUGAGUCAUCGAAUCUUUGAACGCACAUUGCGCCCUUUGGCAUUCCGAAGGGCACACCUGUCCGAGCGCCGUCGCACAACUGAGGCGCAGCCUUGCGUUGGCGGGCGACUUGUGAGUAGCGAGUCGCCGCCCAAACGAGACGGCGCCGCGCCGCGGCCGACGAAGCACGAAAGCGGAAGUCGACGCGGAGGCGGUUGCCUGUAGGAAGACACAGCUUGGCCUCGGAUCAGGUGGGGAUACCCGCUGAACUUAAGCAUAUCAAUAAGCGGAGGA